AUUGAACGCUGGCGGCAUGCCUUACACAUGCAAGUCGAACGGCAGCACGGGAGUAAUCCUGGUGGCGAGUGGCGAACGGGUGAGUAAUAUAUCGGAACGUGCCCAGUCGUGGGGGAUAACGCAGCGAAAGCUGUGCUAAUACCGCAUACGAUCUAAGGAUGAAAGCGGGGGAUCGCAAGACCUCGCGCGAUUGGAGCGGCCGAUAUCAGAUUAGCUAGUUGGUGGGGUAAAGGCCCACCAAGGCGACGAUCUGUAGCUGGUCUGAGAGGACGACCAGCAGCACUGGAACUGAGACACGGUCCAGACUCCUACGGGAGGCAGCAGUGGGGAAUUUUGGACAAUGGGCGCAAGCCUGAUCCAGCAAUGCCGCGUGCAGGAUGAAGGCCUUCGGGUUGUAAACUGCUUUUGUACGGAACGAAACGGCCCUUUCUAAUACAGGGGGCUAAUGACGGUACCGUAAGAAUAAGCACCGGCUAACUACGUGCCAGCCGCCGCGGUAA
This 500-nucleotide ribosomal RNA is filed under the name uncultured bacterium. RNAcentral's name for it is "partial 16S ribosomal RNA". It matches the Rfam family "Bacterial small subunit ribosomal RNA", at positions 30 to 523 of the family's 1533-position model. The record is from RNAcentral.